This 497-nucleotide ribosomal RNA is filed under the name uncultured bacterium. RNAcentral's name for it is "partial 16S ribosomal RNA". It matches the Rfam family "Bacterial small subunit ribosomal RNA", at positions 28 to 507 of the family's 1533-position model. The record is from RNAcentral.
GAUGAACGCUGGCGGCGUGCCUAAUACAUGCAAGUCGAGCGAACGGACGAGAAGCUUGCUUCUCUGAUGUUAGCGGCGGACGGGUGAGUAACACGUGGAUAACCUACCUAUAAGACUGGGAUAACUUCGGGAAACCGGAGCUAAUACCGGAUAAUAUUUUGAACCGCAUGGUUCAAAAGUGAAAGACGGUCUUGCUGUCACUUAUAGAUUGAUCCGCGCUGCAUUAGCUAGUUGGUAAGGUAACGGCUUACCAAGGCAACGAUGCAUAGCCGACCUGAGAGGGUGAUCGGACAGACGGGAACUGAGACACGGUACAGACUCCGACGGGAGGCAGCAGUAGGGAAUCCUCCGCAAUGGGCGAAAGCCUGACGGAGCAACGCCGCGUGAGUGAUGAAGGUCUUCGGAUCGUAAAACUCUGUUAUUAGGGAAGAACAUAUGUGUAAGUAACUGUGCACAUCUUGACGGUACCUAAUCAGAAAGCCACGGCUAACUACGUG